This 368-nucleotide ribosomal RNA is filed under the name uncultured bacterium. RNAcentral's name for it is "bacterial SSU rRNA". It matches the Rfam family "Bacterial small subunit ribosomal RNA", at positions 527 to 895 of the family's 1533-position model. The record is from RNAcentral.
GUAGGUGGCAAGCGUUAUCCGGAUUAUUGGGCGUAAAGCGAGCGCAGGCGGUCUGAAAGUCGAAUGUGAAAGCCCUCGGCCCAACCGAGGAAGCGCAUCGGAAACUUCGAAACUUGAAGGCAGAAGAGGCCGAUGGAACUCCAUGUGUAGCGGUGAAAUGCGUAGAUCUAGAGAAGAACACCAGUGGCGAAAGGCGAUCUUCGGUCCGCCACUGACGCUCAGGCUCGAAAGCUAGGGGAGCGACUAGGAUUAGAUACCCCGGUAGUCCAAGCCGUAAACAAUGAACACUAGGUGUUGGAGGUAUUGAGCCCGUCAGUGCCGCAGCUAACGCAUUAAGCACUCCGCCUGGGGAGUACGACCGCAAGGUU